AUUGAACGCUGGCGGCAUGCCUUACACAUGCAAGUCGAACGGCAGCGGGCCUUCGGGUGCCGGCGAGUGGCGAACGGGUGAGUAAUGCAUCGGAACGUGCCAUUGAGUGGGGGAUAACGUAGCGAAAGUUACGCUAAUACCGCAUAUUCUGUGAGCAGGAAAGCAGGGGGACCGCAAGGCCUUGCGCUCUUUGAGCGGCCGAUGUCAGAUUAGCUAGUUGGUGAGGUAAAGGCUUACCAAGGCGACGAUCUGUAGCGGGUCUGAGAGGAUGAUCCGCCACACUGGAACUGAGACACGGUCCAGACUCCUACGGGAGGCAGCAGUGGGGAAUUUUGGACAAUGGGCGCAAGCCUGAUCCAGCCAUGCCGCGUGAGUGAAGAAGGCCUUCGGGUUGUUAAAGGCUCUUUCGGGAGGAAGACGGGAGAAAUCCCAGACGGUACCU
RNAcentral lists this ribosomal RNA (442 nucleotides) under uncultured bacterium. RNAcentral's name for it is "bacterial SSU rRNA". It matches the Rfam family "Bacterial small subunit ribosomal RNA", at positions 30 to 480 of the family's 1533-position model. The record is from RNAcentral.